AAGACUUUCUUGAGCACAAGGUUCCUCGGAACACACGAGGCUUGACCUUCUUGUUGAAUGCUUUUUUACUCUCUGCUGAUAUGACUGACCAUGACACAUGGCAGUUGAUCUCUUCCUUUCGAUCGAAUUCAGCAUCAGCCAACUUGGGACUUUGAGGGUGCUAUUUUCUUUUGUUUUCUUUUGAUUUUGCUUUUGAUUUCUUUUGAUUUUGAUUUUUUUAUUUUUGCACCCUCUUCUUUUUUGUGCUUGUUUUUUUUUUGAUGCCCCAGUUGGCUGUUCUGCUGAUUCUCGAGACGCAGCUGAGUGAUCUUCUUUUCUUGCUCAAGAAGUCGGGAAAUACCAUCAGGAAUCCCUUCAACAUCAUCUUCGUCUGCUUCGAAUACAGGGAGUUCAAAACUGGGAGAUGACGUCCGAUCACUAUGUUCAAUGGGUUUGAGAAACAACCUGCAUAAUGAUUUUGAUAUGAAAAGCUUUUUGAAAAUCAAACAAGACAAUCGUUAUGCAGAUGAAAAGAUUGCUUUUAUUCUUGUUUUUUUAAGGUUUUUUGUGAUCACCAAUUUCAUGCAAAAAGCGAAAAGGGAAAACAAUUGG
Molecule: long non-coding RNA, 591 nt
Filed under: Lathyrus oleraceus (garden pea)
Lineage: Eukaryota; Viridiplantae; Streptophyta; Magnoliopsida; Fabales; Fabaceae
Description: Pisum sativum (pea) long non-coding RNA (PSAT_LNC033703)
Source: RNAcentral